RNAcentral lists this microRNA precursor (209 nucleotides) under Oryza glumipatula. RNAcentral describes it as "MIR812 microRNA precursor family". It matches the Rfam family "MIR812 microRNA precursor family". The record is from Rfam by way of RNAcentral. Lineage: Eukaryota; Viridiplantae; Streptophyta; Magnoliopsida; Poales; Poaceae.
CUCGAGGGAAAGGAAGAUAGUCCCUCCAUUCCAAAAUAUAUACUCCCUCCCUCUUAUAUGAAUAUUUUUUAUAAUUUAUAUUUUUAUUGUUAGAUGAUAAAACAUGAUUAAUAUUUUAUGCGUGACUUAUCUUUUUAAUUUUUUUUAUAAUUUUUUCAAAUAAGACGGAUGGUCAAACGUUGGACACGGAAACCAGGGUUUGUCUUUUU